RNAcentral lists this ribosomal RNA (803 nucleotides) under uncultured Streptococcaceae bacterium. RNAcentral describes it as "bacterial SSU rRNA". It matches the Rfam family "Bacterial small subunit ribosomal RNA", at positions 57 to 847 of the family's 1533-position model. The record is from RNAcentral. Lineage: Bacteria; Bacillati; Bacillota; Bacilli; Lactobacillales; Streptococcaceae.
ACAGGAUGCACCGUAGUUUACUACACCGUAUUCUGUGAGUUGCGAACGGGUGAGUAACGCGUAGGUAACCUGCCUGGUAGCGGGGGAUAACUAUUGGAAACGAUAGCUAAUACCGCAUAAGAACAUUUACUGCAUGGUAGAUGUUUAAAAGGUGCAAAAGCAUCACUACCAGAUGGACCUGCGUUGUAUUAGCUAGUUGGUGAGGUAACGGCUCACCAAGGCAACGAUACAUAGCCGACCUGAGAGGGUGAUCGGCCACACUGGGACUGAGACACGGCCCAGACUCCUACGGGAGGCAGCAGUAGGGAAUCUUCGGCAAUGGGGGGAACCCUGACCGAGCAACGCCGCGUGAGUGAAGAAGGUUUUCGGAUCGUAAAGCUCUGUUGUUAAGGAAGAACGUGUGUGAGAGUGGAAAGUUCACACAGUGACGGUACUUAACCAGAAAGGGACGGCUAACUACGUGCCAGCAGCCGCGGUAAUACGUAGGUCCCGAGCGUUGUCCGGAUUUAUUGGGCGUAAAGCGAGCGCAGGCGGUUAGAUAAGUCUGAAGUGAAAGGCAGUGGCUCAACCAUUGUAGGCUUUGGAAACUGUUUAACUUGAGUGCAGAAGGGGAGAGUGGAAUUCCAUGUGUAGCGGUGAAAUGCGUAGAUAUAUGGAGGAACACCGGUGGCGAAAGCGGCUCUCUGGUCUGUAACUGACGCUGAGGCUCGAAAGCGUGGGGAGCGAACAGGAUUAGAUACCCUGGUAGUCCACGCCGUAAACGAUGAGUGCUAGGUGUUAGGUCCUUUCCGGGACUUAGUGCC